UAGGUGGGUGUCGGAGAUCCUUGCGGAAUGCACGCUGCGCAUGCAAACGCAUCGGGAAUGGGCGGAAUACGCACUGCCGGAGAUCUGGUAGCGCGUAUGC
Molecule: non-coding RNA, 100 nt
Organism: Desulfobacteraceae bacterium 4572_123
Lineage: Bacteria; Pseudomonadati; Thermodesulfobacteriota; Desulfobacteria; Desulfobacterales; Desulfobacteraceae
Source: Rfam